CUGGAGGCCACGCUGCCCUGCUCCUUCUCCAUAGGGGGCCUCCGCCUGCCUGUGCCCAAUCCACGGCUACUGUCGAUCGUUCACACUCCCCUCCAGCUGAGGAAGACAAGUUGAAAGCCGUUCUUUAUUCUGCUGACAAAAAUAUCAGCCCUUGCGAGAGAAUAAUAAAGGAAAAACCUUGUAUAGGUAAGGUAAGGAGCCUCAUGCACUACUCAUCGAGCCCCUCAUUUCCUGGUGCUUUAAGGGGGACCGGAGCUGUGUCCCUCCUGUUUGAUUGAUUAUUAGUCUGACCUGAGGGUGAGGGUGAACUACUCAAGCUCAUUGUGAGGCC
Molecule: long non-coding RNA, 331 nt
Organism: Megalobrama amblycephala (Wuchang bream)
Lineage: Eukaryota; Metazoa; Chordata; Actinopteri; Cypriniformes; Xenocyprididae
Exons: 3
Source: RefSeq, a predicted model, not a curated record